Molecule: microRNA precursor, 79 nt
Filed under: Cajanus cajan (pigeon pea)
Lineage: Eukaryota; Viridiplantae; Streptophyta; Magnoliopsida; Fabales; Fabaceae
Description: miRNA gene-KK1_050641
Source: RNAcentral
AUACUUCAUUACAUUAAUUCAAAUUAUUGAUAAUGUGCUUUUGUUAUUAUCCAUUAAUUUGAAUUAAUCUAACAAAGUA